CUGGCCUGUUAGCACAGGGGGUUACCUCACCCACUGUCUUUCUUCCCAGCAGAAAUUUAAUCCAGCUCAGCCAGGGCAGACAGCCCACCCUAGGGACUGAUUUCAUGGGCUGAGAAAGAAAGCACAUUGAAAAGAUCAGAGAAGGUAUUCUGAUUUUCCAUGAUGAAAUCCAUGUUUGCAGUGCUCACUGUUUGCUUGCACCUUCUAAUAAUGCCUCUGUUUUAGCUAAAGUAGCCAUAGUCAUAACCCCUCUUAAUCAGAUAAACUGAGUCAUUGUGGUUACAAAGACACAUUCCAUGAAGGGCAUGGAUGAUCAGUUUCUAAGGUGGAAAGAAACACUUCAUCAAUACAGUCAUUUCAGACCACUGAGUUUAUUUAAUUGAGGGAAAGUUUCUAAACCAAAGUCUUACACUUGGCUAUCAAAUUUCUCUUGUUUUCAAAAAAUUCCUCUCUCUCUCAAGUCCACAUCAGGUAAGGAGAAGGAAAAAGAAUUGGCCUAAGCUGUGUCAGACAUCCAAAAGUUCACAGCUUGUGCUUACAUUGUCAUACAGGUGUGGUCCUUACCAAAGGGAACUUGCAUUAUUCAGUGAGUGGGGGCUUAACUGCUGUAACCCAGGAUUCAACAAACUUCUUCUGGAAACUUCCAGGCUCAAUUUCAGGUGGCAUCUCUAUCCUCUGUUUUCCCAUCUCAUCCUCGUGCCCUCUUAUAUCCACUACACUCGACUCAGAAUGUUUUUUCCCAAAACACAAAUUGGAACAUGUCUCUCUCUCCUAAUGAAGACUUUCGAUGGCUUCCUCUUCUUGUGGAUGGAGCCCCAAUUCCUCAGCAUGGCUGAACUGUGUGUCCUGCAAUGACAGAAGUCCACAGGGGCAGAUGGUGACUGAUGGCCCCAAGGCAAGGUGGUUCAGUCAAAUCGUGAGAUGAGCAGGACUCCUAGACCUCAGGCCACCUGGGACCAGAGACUCAAGGAAGCCCUGCCUCCCCUCUCCAGGCUCUGCACAGCAGCCUCUUUCUCUGUGGGUGGAGUGGUGCCCACACGUGGCAGGGAGCUCACAGCCAGAAGAUUCCUCCUCUGGAGCAGCCUGACCUUCCUCCUUAAUCCUCCCCUGAAAACUCCCCAGGAAGGACUGGGUCCGAGUCCACCCCUGACCAGUCACCGUGACCAGAAAGGUGGAGUCCUGUGUCAGGCUGGGGGCUCCUGAGGGAUCAGGUGGCAGGAGGAAGGGGUCCAGCAUGGGGUGCUGUCCCAAGCAUCAGAAAGGGGUGCGGGCAAGCACCGUGACCCACUAAGGGGCUCACAAGGUAGCUGAGCUGCCUUCCCGGCCAGUGUUUGAAAUUAAAAGGCUAAAAAUGACUUUGUUGUCUGACCAUUGAAGUACUCGAUAAGGAAAACACGGAUAUUAAACUUAUAAAGGCAGUUAAAAAUAUUGGAAGGUGUUUCUCUUUACCAAGUUUUCAACUGAAAGCAAAUGUUAAUGAAAGACCCAUUGAAAGUGAUUUCUGGCUGUACACUAUCAAUGAAUAAUCAAAAAAUAUA
RNAcentral lists this long non-coding RNA (1538 nucleotides) under Equus asinus (donkey). Its description in RNAcentral is "lncRNA (ENSEASG00005032816.1)". The record is from RNAcentral. Lineage: Eukaryota; Metazoa; Chordata; Mammalia; Perissodactyla; Equidae.